RNAcentral lists this non-coding RNA (1418 nucleotides) under Pan troglodytes (chimpanzee). The record is from RNAcentral. Lineage: Eukaryota; Metazoa; Chordata; Mammalia; Primates; Hominidae.
GGGUGCUCGGGGCCCCGACGCGUACCCAGGUGCCAUCUGGCCCUCACCUCCCGCCGUAGCUGGCUGUGACGCCCGCCAUGGGCACACUGGGGCAGUGCAGGGAGAAGACGAGGAUGCCCAGCAGGCUGACAACGGUGCAGAACAGGCAGAACUUGAUGACCGCGGAGCCCCGGAGCCUGAGCUUGUUCACAAAGAAGCCGCCCAGGAAGGUGCCGCCACCACCCGCUGGCACCACCAGGGCAGCCACACCCCUCCUCCCCCAGGGGCCUCUGCCGAGUCCCUGCAGGCUGUGACAAGGACAUUUGUCGAAGCCUGAGUGGCCACCAUCAGUACAAAAUUGGGAUCAGCUGGCAUCUGGCUUCUAGGCUGACAAGUGAGGAGGGCACAGACCUGCCCAGCCUGGGAAGGCCAGCCUGCCUCUGGCACCGAGAAACCCCCAGCUGCACUGUUCCAGGAGGUCCUGAGGCACCAGUGCCUGGCUCAUGGAACAGCCAGGUCCAAACCCUUCCUGCACCAAGUCACAGAAGCCAAGACUAGGUGGCUAAGGGGUGGAGCCCACCGUGGACCCUUCCACCUACGGAGCAUGUCCCACAAAGAGGGCGGGACCACCACUCUUCCGGCCUGUGGACAGUCGCUCAGCUCCCGUGGUGCUCUCCACACCUGCUCUGGCAGCGGGGGUGGGAGGGCACUCACUGCCAUGUGCCCUGUCUGGGUCUUUCUAGAAGAUGCCCUUGAAGACUCUGUUUCUGAGAACUGACAUAAAAGCAGAGGACCCCCAAGAUUCAGAGUUUUCUCACCAAACAAGGUGGCAGCUUCUGAGGCACUCAGGCUGAACUGGGACUCCAAGAACUUGGGGCUGAACGUGGACAUGCCGGUGAUGAGUGUGGCCUCGGUGGCCCCAGCCAGGCAGAGCAGGAUGAACGUGGGGUUCUUCAGCAGGAGCCAGAUGGAGCUGGGCAGAUGUCGCUGACUUGAACCCCUGCGUCUGCAGCUUAGUGACAUCCUGUAAACCUACACUUUCCAGCCUCUCGCCAGAGCAGAGUGUCGGCCUCACAUCACCCCCACCUGCAGGAGGGCGGCUCUUUCCUCUCGGCCACACCUAGAGCCUGGUUCCGAUGAACGCAACUCUGAACGCCUGGAACAUUCAAAUGCUCUUGUUUGAGGUGGCGGCCAAAUGUAAAUGGAUUCUGAAGAAUUAGGAACAGACAGUGCAGCCCUAGUUAGCCUCUGAGCCCCAACAGGCCCAUAGGUGCCUUGCAGAGCUGAUGUUGGCGUCAGAAACUCCACUCCAGCCUCACAGGCACUCUGCCUGCUUGGAGGUGUUCGCUGGUUCGCUCAGACUGACCUCAGCAGCCAUGAACAUGGGUUCUUUCUGUUCCCUUCCCUGAUUAAAAUGGGAGAGCCCAGUUCUUUCAAAA